This 477-nucleotide ribosomal RNA is filed under the name uncultured bacterium. RNAcentral describes it as "partial 16S ribosomal RNA". It matches the Rfam family "Bacterial small subunit ribosomal RNA", at positions 28 to 507 of the family's 1533-position model. The record is from RNAcentral.
GAUUAACGCUGGCGGCGUGCACAACACAUGCAAGUCGAACGAUGAAACUUAGUAGACUUCUUCGGAAAGACAUUAAGCGGCUUAGUGGCGAACGGGUGAGUAACGCGUGAGUAACCUGCCUUACACAAGGGGAUAGCCUUUGGAAACGAAGAAUAAUACCCUAUAAAACCAUAAAAGCACAUGCUAGAAUGGUCAAAGUGCUAGCGGUGUAAGAUGGACUUGCGUCUGAUUAGCUAGUUGGUGAGAUAAAAGCUCACCAAGGCAACGAUCAGUAGCCGGCUUGAGAGAGUGUACGGCCACAUUGGGACUGAGACACGGCCCAGACUCCUACGGGAGGCAGCAGUGGGGAAUUUUGCACAAUGGGGGAAACCCUGAUGCAGCGACGCCGCGUGAUUUAGAAGGCCUUCGGGUUGUAAAAAUCUUUUGUAUAGGAAGAAAAUGACAGUACUAUACGAAUAAGGUCCGGCUAAUUACGUG